Molecule: long non-coding RNA, 624 nt
Organism: Haliotis rufescens (red abalone)
Lineage: Eukaryota; Metazoa; Mollusca; Gastropoda; Lepetellida; Haliotidae
Exons: 3
Source: RefSeq, a predicted model, not a curated record
UGUCAUCGGUGUACUAUAUACUUACCGUGGUCGGCGGUGUUGACACAGUUGUGGAGGUUGUCAUCGGUGUACUAUAUACUUACCGUGGUCGGCGGUGAUGACACAGUUGUGGAGUUGUCAUCGGUGUACUAUAUACUUACCGUGGUCGUGGUGAUGACGGUGUUGACACAGUUGUGGAGGUUGUCAUCGGUGUACUAUAUACUUACCGUGGUCGGCGGUGUUGACACAGUUGUGGGGGUUGUCAUCGGUGUACUAUAUACUUACCGUGGUCGGCGGUGUUGACACAGUUGUGGAGUUGUCAUCGGUGUACUAUAUACUUACCGUGGUCGGCGGUGUUGACACAGUUGUGGAGGUUGUCAUCGGUGUACUAUCUACUUACCGUGGUCUGCGGUGUUGACACAGUUGUGGAGGUUGUCAUCGGUGUACUAUAUACUUACUGUGGUCGGCGGUGAUGACGGUGUUGUGGAGGUUGUCAUCGGUGUACUAUAUACUUACCGUGGUCGGCGGGGAUGACGAUGUUGUGGAGUUGUCAUCGGUGUACUAUAUACUUACCGUGGUCGUGGUGAUGACGGUGUUGACACAGUUGUGGGGGUUGUCAUCGGUGUACUAUAUACUUACCGUGGU